This 492-nucleotide ribosomal RNA is filed under the name uncultured bacterium. Its description in RNAcentral is "partial 16S ribosomal RNA". It matches the Rfam family "Bacterial small subunit ribosomal RNA", at positions 29 to 507 of the family's 1533-position model. The record is from RNAcentral.
AGUGAACGCUGGCGGUAGGCCUAACACAUGCAAGUCGAACGGCAGCACAGUAAGAGCUUGCUCUUACGGGUGGCGAGUGGCGGACGGGUGAGGAAUACAUCGGAAUCUACUUUUUCGUGGGGGAUAACGUAGGGAAACUUACGCUAAUACCGCAUACGACCUACGGGUGGAAGCAGGGGAUCUUCGGACCUUGCGCGAUUGAAUGAGCCGAUGUCGGAUUAGCUAGUUGGCGGGGUAAAGGCCCACCAAGGCGACGUUCCGUAGCUGGUCUGAGAGGAUGAUCAGCCACACUGGAACUGAGACACGGUCCAGACUCCUACGGGAGGCAGCAGUGGGGAAUAUUGGACAAUGGGCGCAAGCCUGAUCCAGCCAUACCGCGUGGGUGAAGAGGGCCUUCGGGUUGUAAAGCCCUUUUGUUGGGAAAGAAAAGCAGCAGGUUAAUACCCCGCUGUUCUGACGGUACCCAAAGAAUAAGCACCGGCUAACUUCGUG